RNAcentral lists this ribosomal RNA (429 nucleotides) under Actinomycetes bacterium. RNAcentral describes it as "Actinobacteria bacterium partial 16S ribosomal RNA". It matches the Rfam family "Bacterial small subunit ribosomal RNA", at positions 355 to 776 of the family's 1533-position model. The record is from RNAcentral. Lineage: Bacteria; Bacillati; Actinomycetota; Actinomycetes.
UAGGGAAUCUUCCGCAAUGGGCGAAAGCCUGACGGAGCAACGCCGCGUGAGUGAUGAAGGUCUUCGGAUCGUAAAACUCUGUUAUUAGGGAAGAACAAAUGUGUAAGUAACUAUGCACGUCUUGACGGUACCUAAUCAGAAAGCCACGGCUAACUACGUGCCAGCAGCCGCGGUAAUACGUAGGUGGCAAGCGUUAUCCGGAAUUAUUGGGCGUAAAGCGCGCGUAGGCGGUUUUUUAAGUCUGAUGUGAAAGCCCACGGCUCAACCGUGGAGGGUCAUUGGAAACUGGAAAACUUGAGUGCAGAAGAGGAAAAUGGAAUUCAAUGUGUAACAGUGAAAUACGCAGAGAUAUGGAGGAACACCAGUGGCGAAGACAACUUUCUGGUCUGUAACUGACGCUGAUAUGCGAAAGCGUGGGGAUCAAACAGG